GGCACUGCAAAAAGGAUUGUCUGCGACACCGACGCUAUUGCUUCGAACUGCGAUUUUGGUCACGUUUGCUGGGUGACGUGUCCGCAAAAUUGCGCGCUGGACCGCAAGCUAUACGGCACCGAGACGUACACAUACGACUCAGCCAUCUGCGUUGCCGCAAUCCACGACCUCCGACUGUCUCCGUGGAACAGAACCCAUCGCACAGUUGCCUUCCAACGAGACGAGGAUGCAGGAAGUUACCGGGGAUCGUGGCGAAACGGGGUCAAGACGUACAGUUACGGGAGCCUACGCACUUAUAGAGGAAGCUACCGCUUUGUAAGCCAACGUAUUCAAG
Molecule: non-coding RNA, 334 nt
Organism: Dermacentor andersoni
Lineage: Eukaryota; Metazoa; Arthropoda; Arachnida; Ixodida; Ixodidae
Source: RefSeq, a predicted model, not a curated record